Molecule: long non-coding RNA, 479 nt
Filed under: Equus asinus (donkey)
Lineage: Eukaryota; Metazoa; Chordata; Mammalia; Perissodactyla; Equidae
Description: lncRNA (ENSEASG00005036415.1)
Source: RNAcentral
CCGGGGAGGAGUGCAGGGGGAGGCCUUAGAUCAACGAUGGCCCUGAGCAGAUCCACGGGGGUCAAGCCUGCGGCCACCACAGCCAGAAGAAUCCGGGAGAGAACGAUUUCUCUGAAAGAGAUGGGUGUGAAGGCACAUCCCAACCUUGUGCACCAGGCAGGGCCAUCCAGUCUCGGCCCCACGCUGGCCUCUGGCCGGCCGCCAGCCAGGGAAGAAGUGACUACCGACUUGGAGAGGUGAGGAAGAGGCACAGAGAGGUUAUACUGUACCCUAGAUCUCACAGCUAGCCAGUGGAUAACCCCUCCCCUGCACUCCAGGGAUUGGCCUUGCGGGAUCUUCCUACCCCUCCCUACCCAGAACGGUCCCAGCAUGGGUCAUGAGGAUACACAGCAGUGCCUUCCUCCAAGUCUGGCUCAUUUGGUUUCUACAUUCUCACCAUGUGCAGCCUCUCCUCUCCUGGAAGGAUAGUCCAUAGGUGU